RNAcentral lists this ribosomal RNA (534 nucleotides) under Scomber australasicus (blue mackerel). Its description in RNAcentral is "partial 16S ribosomal RNA". It matches the Rfam family "Bacterial large subunit ribosomal RNA", at positions 1942 to 2621 of the family's 2925-position model. Lineage: Eukaryota; Metazoa; Chordata; Actinopteri; Scombriformes; Scombridae. The record is from RNAcentral.
CUGACCGUGCAAAGGUAGCGUAAUCACUUGUCUUUUAAAUGAAGACCUGUAUGAAUGGUAUUACGAGGGCUUAACUGUCUCCUUUUUCAGGUCAGUGAAAUUGAUCUCCCCGUGCAGAAGCGGGGAUAAGACCAUAAGACGAGAAGACCCUAUGGAGCUUUAAGACACUAAGCCAUAUCAAGUUAAAUACCCCCUAACAAGGGGCCAAACUUAUUGAAAUCAUUGGCCGUAUGUCUUCGGUUGGGGCGACCAUGGGGAAACAAAAAACCCCCACGUGGAAUGGGAGCACAUUUACUCCUACAGUCAAGAGCCGCCACUCUAACAAACAGAAUUUCUGACCAAUAACUGAUCCGGCAACGCCGAUCAACGGACCAAGUUACCCUAGGGAUAACAGCGCAAUCCCCUUUUAGAGCCCCUAUCGACAAGGGGGUUUACGACCUCGAUGUUGGAUCAGGACAUCCUAAUGGUGCAGCCGCUAUUGAGGGUUCGUUGUUCAACGAUUAAAGUCCUACGUGAUCUGAGUUCAGACCGGAG